RNAcentral lists this ribosomal RNA (497 nucleotides) under uncultured bacterium. RNAcentral's name for it is "partial 16S ribosomal RNA". It matches the Rfam family "Bacterial small subunit ribosomal RNA", at positions 28 to 507 of the family's 1533-position model. The record is from RNAcentral.
GAUGAACGCUGGCGGCGUGCCUAACACAUGCCAGUCGAGCGAACGGACGAGACUUUUGCUUUUCUGAUGUUAGCGGCGGACGGGUGAGUCACACGUGUAUAACCUACCUAUAUGACUGGGAUCACUUCGGGAAACCGGCUCUAACCCCGGAUAAUAUUUUGAACCGCAUGGUUCAAAAGUGAAAGACGGUCUUGCUGUCACUUAUAGAUGGUUCCCCGCUGCAUUAGCUAGUUGGUACGGUAACGGCUUACCAAGGCUACGAUGCAUAGCCGACCUGAGAGGGUGAUCGGCCACACUGGAACUGAGACACGGUCCAGACUCCUACGGGAGGCAGCAGUAGGGAAUCUUCGGCAAUGGGCGAAAGCCUGACGGAGCAAGGCCGCGUGAGUGAAGAAGGUCUUCGGAUCGUAAAACUCUGUUAUUAGGGAAGAACAGAUGUGUAAGUAAAUGUGGAGAUAUUGACGGUACCUAAUAAGAAAGCAACGGCUAACUACGUG